AGACAAGAGGGGUUGCUCUGAUGAUAAGCAACCCCCACUUUCAACCUAGAGGUUGUGAGUUCGAGUCUCCCCAAGAGCAAGGUGGAAAGUUCUUGGAGGAAGGAUGCCGGGGGUCUAUUUGGAAACAGCCUCUCUACCCAAGGGUAGGGGUAAGGUCUGCGUACAUACUACCUCCCCAGACCCCACUAAGUGGGAUUAUAC
Molecule: long non-coding RNA, 201 nt
Filed under: Nicotiana benthamiana
Lineage: Eukaryota; Viridiplantae; Streptophyta; Magnoliopsida; Solanales; Solanaceae
Description: long non-coding RNA (NBEN_LNC014666)
Source: RNAcentral